GGGGCCGUCGGCUAGCCAGGUCUAGGCUGCGAGGCUUGGGCCCUCGCGACCCCGGUUCAAAUCCGGGCGGCCCCACCA
RNAcentral lists this transfer RNA (78 nucleotides) under Candidatus Bathyarchaeota archaeon ex4484_135. Its description in RNAcentral is "tRNA-Pro". It matches the Rfam family "tRNA". Rfam says of the family: Transfer RNA (tRNA) molecules are approximately 80 nucleotides in length. Their secondary structure includes four short double-helical elements and three loops (D, anti-codon, and T loops). Further hydrogen bonds mediate the characteristic L-shaped molecular structure. tRNAs have two regions of fundamental functional importance: the anti-codon, which is responsible for specific mRNA codon recognition, and the 3' end, to which the tRNAs corresponding amino acid is attached (by aminoacyl-tRNA synthetases). tRNAs cope with the degeneracy of the genetic code in two manners: having more than one tRNA (with a specific anti-codon) for a particular amino acid; and 'wobble' base-pairing, i.e. permitting non-standard base-pairing at the 3rd anti-codon position. Lineage: Archaea; Thermoproteati; Candidatus Bathyarchaeota. RNAcentral also lists the same sequence under 1 other name. The record is from RNAcentral.